CCCCGCGCUGGACCAGGUCGGCGUGCUGGAGUCGCGCGCGAUCGCGGCCGAGGCGACGUUCGACGCGUUCGCCCGGG
This 77-nucleotide transfer RNA is filed under the name Lentzea sp. NBRC 102530. RNAcentral's name for it is "tRNA-Ser". The record is from RNAcentral. Lineage: Bacteria; Bacillati; Actinomycetota; Actinomycetes; Pseudonocardiales; Pseudonocardiaceae.